Molecule: unclassified non-coding RNA, 21 nt
Filed under: synthetic construct
Source: RNAcentral
GGCCACCUGACAGUCCUCUCC